RNAcentral lists this ribosomal RNA (515 nucleotides) under uncultured bacterium. RNAcentral describes it as "partial 16S ribosomal RNA". It matches the Rfam family "Bacterial small subunit ribosomal RNA", at positions 28 to 523 of the family's 1533-position model. The record is from RNAcentral.
GAUGAACGCUGGCGGCGUGCCUAAUACAUGCAAGUCGAGCGAAUGGAUUAAGAGCUUGCUCUUAUGAAGUUAGCGGCGGACGGGUGAGUAACACGUGGGUAACCUGCCCAUAAGACUGGGAUAACUCCGGGAAAACGGGGCUAAUACCGGAUUACAUUUUGAACCGAAUGGUUCGUAAUCUAAAGGCGGUUUCGGCUGUCAUUUAUGGAUGGACCCGCGUCGCAUUAGCUAGUUGGUGAGGUAACGGCUCACCAAGGCAACGAUGCGUAGCCGAACUGAGAUGGUGAUCGGCCACACUGGGACUGAGACACGGCCCAGACUCCUACGGGAGGCAGCAGUAGGGAAUCUUCCGCAAUGGACGAAAGUCUGACGGAGCAACGCCGCGUGAGUGAUGAAGGCUUUCGGGUCGUAAAACUCUGUUGUUAGGGAAGAACAAGUGCUAGUUGAAUAAGCUGGCUCCUUGACGGUACCUAACCAGAAAGCCACGGCUAACUACGUGCCAGCAGCCGCCGUAA